CCCCCCCCGCCACCAUCCCUCCGCCCACUCAGGAGAGCAAAUGCCUUUCUCCAGAGUUCAAGAGAUCCUGCAGAGAAAAUUAGCAGUGACAGCCAGGCCACCCUGCUUCCAGGUUCUUCUCUAAAGGGUGGAUUGAAACUGAUUCCUCACCACCUCAUUCCCUGCAGGCCCGCUCACUUCCAGGAACCCCAGUUCCUCUCACAGAAAAUGAACUGCCUGCUUAAAUCAAUCCAACACAGUUAAGGAAGGAUGAG
This 254-nucleotide long non-coding RNA is filed under the name Pogona vitticeps (central bearded dragon). RNAcentral's name for it is "lncRNA (ENSPVIG00000007911.1)". Lineage: Eukaryota; Metazoa; Chordata; Lepidosauria; Squamata; Agamidae. The record is from RNAcentral.